This 436-nucleotide ribosomal RNA is filed under the name Hymenobacter sp. RNAcentral describes it as "bacterial SSU rRNA". It matches the Rfam family "Bacterial small subunit ribosomal RNA", at positions 34 to 476 of the family's 1533-position model. The record is from RNAcentral. Lineage: Bacteria; Pseudomonadati; Bacteroidota; Cytophagia; Cytophagales; Hymenobacteraceae.
CGCUAGCGGCAGGCCUAAUACAUGCAAGUCGAACGGAUGUCAGCAAUGGCAUUAGUGGCGCACGGGUGCGUAACGCGUAACCAACCUACCCAGAACUGGGGGAUAGCCCGCCGAAAGGCGGAUUAAUACCGCAUAAGAUCAUGAUCCGGCAUCGGGUAGUGAUUAAAGAUUUAUUGGUUUUGGAUGGGGUUGCGUAGCAUUAGCUGGAUGGUGAGGUAACGGCUCACCAUGGCGACGAUGCUUAGGGGAGCUGAGAGGCUGAUCCCCCACACUGGCACUGAGAUACGGGCCAGACUCCUACGGGAGGCAGCAGUAGGGAAUAUUGGGCAAUGGCCGAGAGGCUGACCCAGCCAUGCCGCGUGCCGGAUGAAGGCCUUCUGGGUUGUAAACGGCUUUUCUCAGGGAAGAAAAAGGGGAUGCGUCCUCAACUGACGGU